This 465-nucleotide ribosomal RNA is filed under the name Vreelandella stevensii. RNAcentral's name for it is "partial 16S ribosomal RNA". It matches the Rfam family "Bacterial small subunit ribosomal RNA", at positions 338 to 795 of the family's 1533-position model. The record is from RNAcentral. Lineage: Bacteria; Pseudomonadati; Pseudomonadota; Gammaproteobacteria; Oceanospirillales; Halomonadaceae.
CCUACGGGCGGCUACAGUGGGGAAUAUUGGACAAUGGGGGGAACCCUGAUCCAGCCAUGCCGCGUGUGUGAAGAAGGCCCUCGGGUUGUAAAGCACUUUCAGUGAGGAAGAACGCCUGGUGGUUAAUACCCAUCAGGAAAGACAUCACUCACAGAAGAAGCACCGGCUAACUCCGUGCCAGCAGCCGCGGUAAUACGGAGGGUGCGAGCGUUAAUCGGAAUUACUGGGCGUAAAGCGCGCGUAGGUGGCUUGAUAAGCCGGUUGUGAAAGCCCCGGGCUCAACCUGGGAACGGCAUCCGGAACUGUCAAGCUAGAGUGCAGGAGAGGAAGGUAGAAUUCCCGGUGUAGCGGUGAAAUGCGUAGAGAUCGGGAGGAAUACCAGUGGCGAAGGCGGCCUUCUGGACUGACACUGACACUGAGGUGCGAAAGCGUGGGUAGCAAACAGGAUUAGAUACCCUUGUAGUC